RNAcentral lists this ribosomal RNA (385 nucleotides) under uncultured bacterium. RNAcentral describes it as "partial 16S ribosomal RNA". It matches the Rfam family "Bacterial small subunit ribosomal RNA", at positions 338 to 734 of the family's 1533-position model. The record is from RNAcentral.
CCUACGGGUGGCAGCAGUCGAGAAUCUUUCACAAUGGGGGAAACCCUGAUGGUGCGACGCCGCGUGGGGGAAUGAAGGUCUUCGGAUUGUAAACCCCUGUCAUGUGGGAGCAAAUUAAAAAGAUAGUACCACAAGAGGAAGAGACGCCAAACUCUGUGCCAGCAGCCGCGGUAAUACGGAGGUCUCAAGUGUUGUUCGGAAUCACGGGGCGUAAGGGGUGCGUAGGCUGCUUCGUAGGUCGUGUGUGAAGGGCGCGGGCCCAACCCGUGGACGGCACAUGGUACUGCGAGACUAGAGUAAUGGAGGGGGAAGCGGAAUUCUCGGUGUAGCAGUGAAAUGCGUAGAUAUCGGGAGGAACACUCGUGGCGAAGGCGGGUUGCUGGAC